Molecule: ribosomal RNA, 587 nt
Filed under: Trichoderma sp. INBio2559A
Lineage: Eukaryota; Fungi; Ascomycota; Sordariomycetes; Hypocreales; Hypocreaceae
Description: eukaryotic LSU rRNA
Rfam family: 5.8S ribosomal RNA (bases 211-364)
Source: RNAcentral
UGCGGAGGGAUCAUUACCGAGUAACUCCAACCCAAUGUGAACGUUACCAAACUGUUGCCUCGGCGGGAUCUCUGCCCCGGGUGCGUCGCAGCCCCGGACCAAGGCGCCCGCCGGAGGACCAACCAAAACUCUUAUUGUAUACCCCCUCGCGGGUUUUUUACUAUCUGAGCCAUCUCGGCGCCCCUCGUGGGCGUUUCGAAAAUGAAUCAAAACUUUCAACAACGGAUCUCUUGGUUCUGGCAUCGAUGAAGAACGCAGCGAAAUGCGAUAAGUAAUGUGAAUUGCAGAAUUCAGUGAAUCAUCGAAUCUUUGAACGCACAUUGCGCCCGCCAGUAUUCUGGCGGGCAUGCCUGUCCGAGCGUCAUUUCAACCCUCGAACCCCUCCGGGGGGUCGGCGUUGGGGAUCGGCCCUUUACGGGGCCGGCCCCGAAAUACAGUGGCGGUCUCGCCGCAGCCUCUCCUGCGCAGUAGUUUGCACACUCGCAUCGGGAGCGCGGCGCGUCCACAGCCGUUAAACACCCCAAACUUCUGAAAUGUUGACCUCGGAUCAGGUAGGAAUACCCGCUGAACUUAAGCAUAUCAAUAAG